CCACCUAGAGGAGCUGUUNUGUAAUCGACAACCCCCGUUAAACCUCACCACUCCUUGCCCCAGACAGCCUAUAUACCGCCGUCGCCAGCCUACCCCGUGAGGGAGUCACAGUAAGCUAAAUGGUCAUUACCCCAAACGUCAGGUCAAGGUGUAGCUAAUGGAGUGGAAAGAAAUGGGCUACAUUUUCUGACCC
RNAcentral lists this ribosomal RNA (193 nucleotides) under Ahlia egmontis (key worm eel). RNAcentral describes it as "partial 12S ribosomal RNA". Lineage: Eukaryota; Metazoa; Chordata; Actinopteri; Anguilliformes; Ophichthidae. The record is from RNAcentral.